Panthera uncia (snow leopard) is the source of this 1683-nucleotide long non-coding RNA. RefSeq lists it as uncharacterized. The record is from RefSeq and is a predicted model, not a curated record. NCBI's taxonomy places the organism in Eukaryota, Metazoa, Chordata, Mammalia, Carnivora, Felidae. The transcript is spliced from 7 exons.
UGUAAACGAAGCCCUGAAAGAGAACACAAGCAUUCUGGGAGUCUGUGGUGAGGGGCGGACCAGUCAGGGAUAUAAACAUCAAGGCAUGGGCAGAGGAAACCCAAAUAAGGUGUUUGAUCUGAAUCUGACUUCUGAGUCCAGAGACCACAGGGACUUUCGCCAAACAGUUUCACUAAACGAGUCAGUGAACUCAAAGGAAUGACGUGGUUUGACAGAACUUCAACACACAGCAACAGAAAAACGUGUCUCAAUCCUUCAUCCUUGGGAACAGGAAAAUCAGUUGCUUGGUAGAGGCCAUCUUUAACAAAAGGUCAAAGGAAAUUGUUUUGGAGAUUUUGGGAGACUUUAGCCGCUUAAGACAGGGACCCUCUUACAGAGCUUCGUGAAAAAAGUUGGGAUGCAAUAUCUCCAAAAACUCUACCCGGCAGGUUAAUGAGUAAGAUAAAAAUGAAAAAAGGCACAUGUCGGAUUUCAUUCAUUCACCAAUCACAAACAACUAUUUUGCUGAAGUGGAUAAUUGUUUUCAAAGACUAGAAGAAUAUUCCUCAGUUUUUUGGGGCUAUUCACCAUGUAGCAGGCGUUCAAGAUUAUUUAAACUGUAUGAAUGGUUGUUUGCAGUAGUACCUGGAAAAUCUGAAAAAAAGUGUUCACAUCAUUUAGAAAUUCACCUUGGAUUCAACGUUUUGGAAAAAAAGAAGAGGGAAGGCUUGGAAAGAGAGAGCCUGUUCACGAAGAGAUGCUGACACCUGAGAAGAAGCAGUGAGGAAGCGUGGCAGAACAAAACCCCAUUUAACGCUCCGUGAUGGCUUCUCCAGCAUGAGACCUGGCUGUCCAUUGCCAUCUUGGAAGAAGUUGUGCGCAGAUACUGAUAUGCCCGGAUAAAAGAAAAAUAGGCUCAUUCUUCAAAUAACUUACUUCACUUAAAGUUAUCCUUCAAAUAAGUUACCAUACCUAUAGGAUUCUGCUGCAGAAAGCCUAUAAAAAACAAACUUCAGAGAAUGUUAACGUCAUUUGGGGUAGACUCUUUCCACAGAUGCAACUAGAUUAAAAUUAAUUCCACUUCUGAGUCUGCCUAAAAUUUUGCAUUUGGCUCAGUGACGUAGCUAACACUUUGAAGUUCAUUUCAGCUCCUACAAGUGUAUCAUAUAUAUAUGAAAGCAAGCAAUACUUUUUUCAACUGACCUCUUAUACAGCAAGCUUGCUAAAUUAACUUAUAAAGGCUAAUAAUUUAGCCAUAGAAGCUUCUAAAUAUUUUAGUUUAGGCAGUCAUAUCACCUAAAAUAUGAUGACAAUUGCAUUUUUUCCUUCCAAUUGUCAUACCUCCUUUUUCUUGACUUACUACGUUGGUUAGGCUCUGCAGGGCAGCACUGAAAAGAAGCAAAUAUUCAGCUAACUUUUCCAUUCCUUCAAAUCAAAAGGAGAGCCUCAGGGGCGACUGGGUGGCUCAGUCAGUUAAGUGCCUGACUUCAGCUCGGCUCAUGAUCUCACGGUUCGUGAGUUUGAGCCCCACGUCAGGCUCUGUGCUGACAGCUCUGAGCCUGGAGACUGCUUCGGAUUCUGAGUCUCUCUCUGUGUCUCUCUCUUUCUCUGCCCCUCCCCCACUUGCACUCUCUUUCCAAAUAAAUCAAUCACUUAAAAAAAAAAAAAAUAAAGGAAAGCCUCAGCAUUUCCCAUUAAAGGUGA